Non-coding RNA from Gossypium arboreum, 143 nucleotides. The record is from Rfam. Lineage: Eukaryota; Viridiplantae; Streptophyta; Magnoliopsida; Malvales; Malvaceae.
UAUUAAAAAUUUCAUCUAUUUCUAUUGUUAAAAACGAGUGUAGUUGGCGAAAUAACCAAAAAGUUACACGAUGUGCCACGUGUAUAUAAUGUUAAUGUACAAGGACCAAUUUUUAACAAUAAAAAUGGAUGGAACUUUUAACA